Molecule: long non-coding RNA, 460 nt
Organism: Oncorhynchus keta (chum salmon)
Lineage: Eukaryota; Metazoa; Chordata; Actinopteri; Salmoniformes; Salmonidae
Exons: 3
Source: RefSeq, a predicted model, not a curated record
UGGAAGUGAGCAUUGAGGUUGAUGACAGGCCCAGUCCAGUUUCAGUGGAAGUGAGCAUUGAUGUUGAUGACAGGCCCAGUCCAGUUUCAGUGGAAGUGAGCAUUGAGGUUGAUGACAGGCCCAGUCCAGUUUCAGUGGAAGUGAGCAUUGAGGUUGAUGACAGGCCCAGUCCAGUUUCAGUGGAAGUGAGCAUUGAGGUUGAUGACAGGCCCAGUCCAGUUUCAGUGGAAGUGAGCAUUGAGGUUGAUGACAGGCCCAGUCCAGUUUCAGUGGAAGUGAGCAUUGAGGUUGAUGACAGGCCCAGUCCAGUUUCAGUGGAAGUGAGCAUUGAGGUGGAUGACAGGCCCUGUCCAGUUUCAGUGGAAGUGAGCAUUGAGGUUGAUGACAGGCCCAGUCCAGUUUCAGUGGAAGUGAGCAUUGAGGUGGAUGACAGGCCCAGUCCAGUUUCAGUGGAAGUGAG